UCAGAUCGCACCACGCACACGACCACCAAAUACGCAAACCAGCCGCCGCCGAGUAAAUCUCGCCUGUGUCCACCACUUUGAGCGUUGUGGCUUCAGGCCAUCGGCGGUCCUCCAUGGGGAUGCCCGUGGCUGCGGGUGGCGCGUGGGAGCUGCAUGGUGGCGGGAACUCCUCGCCAGCGUCGUGGUUCUACGCAUCAUCGUGAAUAGGAGCCCCUGUGCUGCGCAAUCGAAGGUAAUAGCAUCAUCAUAUGGCUUGCUUCCUUCUCUAUUGCGCAUAGCGUCCGUUAGCAGGAAGAACGGGUCCCGGAUGGCCGGGGCGUCUGCUCGCCGGCGCGGUGCCGCCGCGGUUGGGGACGCCGCCGCGGUCUAGGGGCGUUGGUUGAGGGAGUAAUGGGAAGCGUAGAUUUAUUGACGAUCAGCCUGGAUUAGAUGUUAGGGUGUUGCGCCGGGCGCCAUUGAUCCCGCGGGCUUCUGAUCGGACGGCCGAAUUUCUCUAUACCCCUUCGACCGUGGCAAAAUUCUUAAAGAGCCCCUGAUCUUCACAGUACUCAACCCGCCGUCCUCGGCCGAUGUAAAGUAAUUGCUAUUGAGCCCUGUAUAUUUAUAAACUAGCCCAUGUACUCUUUAGAAUUUGUAGCAGCAGUCCAUAGCCUUUGUUUUCGGUAAAUAGAAUUUUAGAAAAUGAUUUAUAAUAUAGAAUAAUCUUAGAUAAUUCAUAACUUCUCCAUUUUAACCCCUUUUUUUAACCCAUUCCAGUUGUAAUAAUUUUUUUAUAUUGUCUAUCAACUUGUAACACUGUUUAGCCAUGAAACUUGAAUUAAAAUUAUUCAUUAAGAUUAAUCUAUUCUAAGUACUGAAUAAUUUCAGAAGUUAAUAACUUAAUGACUGUAACUUCGAAUUUAGUGGUUCUUGUUUCUGCGAUCUCGUAGCAACGUGUAGAAUAUUAUUAUUUAGUCUGCUCUUAUGUUUGGUGUGAUGUUAAUUUUGUCUAUACCAUGUAUGUUUGUAUUACUACGACUAGCAGUGAGAACACGUGUCAUCUAAAGAGCAAGUUGGUACCUG
Molecule: long non-coding RNA, 1062 nt
Filed under: Zea mays
Lineage: Eukaryota; Viridiplantae; Streptophyta; Magnoliopsida; Poales; Poaceae
Description: long non-coding RNA (ZMAY_LNC000535)
Source: RNAcentral